AUGGAAAGCGGCGGACGGGUGAGUAACGCGUGGGCAACCUGCCUUUCACAGAGGGAUAGCCAAAGGAAACUUUGAUUAAAACCUCAUAAAGCUGGAAUAGUGCAUAAUAUACCAGCCAAAGAUUUAUCGGUGAAAGAUGGGCCCGCGUCUGAUUAGCUAGUUGGUGGGGUAACGGCUCACCAAGGCGACGAUCAGUAGCCGACCUGAGAGGGUGAUCGGCCACAUUGGAACUGAGACACGGUCCAAACUCCUACGGGAGGCAGCAGUGGGGAAUAUUGCACAAUGGGCGAAAGCCUGAUGCAGCAACGCCGCGUGAACGAAGAAGGCCUUCGGGUCGUAAAGUUCUGUCCAAAGGGAAGAAAAGAAUGACGGUACCUAUGGAGGAAGCCCCGGCUAAAUACGUGCCAGCAGCCGCGGUAAUACGUAUGGGGCAAGCGUUAUCCGGAAUUAUUGGGCGUAAAGAGUGCGUAGGUGGUGGCUUAAGCGCAGGGUUUAAGGCAAUGGCUUAACUAUUGUUCGCCUUGCGAACUGGGUCACUUGAGUACAGGAGAGGAAAGCGGAAUUCCUAGUGUAGCGGUGAAAUGCAUAGAUAUUAGGAGGAACACCGGUGGCGAAGGCGGCUUUCUGGACUGCAACUGACACUGAGGCACGAAAGCGUGGGUAGCAAACAGG
RNAcentral lists this ribosomal RNA (672 nucleotides) under uncultured Clostridium sp. RNAcentral's name for it is "bacterial SSU rRNA". It matches the Rfam family "Bacterial small subunit ribosomal RNA", at positions 88 to 776 of the family's 1533-position model. Lineage: Bacteria; Bacillati; Bacillota; Clostridia; Eubacteriales; Clostridiaceae. The record is from RNAcentral.